RNAcentral lists this long non-coding RNA (1158 nucleotides) under Octopus vulgaris (common octopus). The record is from RNAcentral. Lineage: Eukaryota; Metazoa; Mollusca; Cephalopoda; Octopoda; Octopodidae.
GAACUAUCUCAAAUCUUUCUAUUUAUCAGUGAAAACUUUACAACAUUCUUUGUAAUUCAUUAUAUAUACAUUUGCGACAUACUCAAUGUAUGUGUUAAUUUUACAAAAAUACACCCAAAAUUGUUGCACAUAUAAAAAUGAAGCAGAUUUUUUUUCCAUGUAUGGUUAUAUAUAUAAUAUACAGAGUGGUCCAAUAGUCUGAAUCCAUAAAAAUUUCUUUUUAUAUACAUUUUUCUUAUGUAACAAUCAUGGUUUAGCCAGAACUAUUCUGUGAAAGUAUAACCAGUCUGUAUGUUUUUGACAAUAAUGUUACCAGAGAAGCAUACAUCAAUAUAUUACAAUCUUUUUUUUUAAAAAGAGAAUUGGAUGACAUUUCUGUUAGAAUAGUGUAAAAUAUUUUUACAACGUGAUACCCAAGUACAUUCUUUUUUUUCAAUUUGGUUGAGGAAUUAUUUAUAUGAAACUUUUUCAAAAACAUAGAUUGUGAAAAAAAAAUCUUGUUGAAUGACCAAUUUGAUUUUCCAGACAUGAUGGCAUAUGUGUGAGUGUGGGUCAUCAGUAAUCUAUAUGAAUCAAUCUGAAACAAUCAAUGUAUUAAAGAAAGCAAUCAUACUGACGUGUGAUAGUGCUACAGAUAUUCCCGAGUGAGAAUUCAAAAUUCUUGAAGUGAAAUCAAUGAAAUCAAAUAGGAUAUGUGUUGAAGGCCACCAGUUUGAACAAAUUUUUGACAUUUAAAUAAAGUUGUCUUUCCACAGAGCCAACAUUUUCAGAUAUCUUUGUUUGUUUUUUUUAAAUAUAUAAUUGUAUUACAUUUGAUUGAUUCUAGUUUCAGCUCACGAGCUGUGGCCAUGCUGGGGCACCACCAUUUGCAUGCAUAUAUAUAUAUAUAUGUGUGUGAGUGUAAAUAUGUAUGUAUGUAUGUAUAUAACGGGAAGCUUUAUGAAAAUAAAGAAAAGACGAAGGCAGGUGGAAUACAAACAAACGAUUGUAUUAGUAUGGCGCUCAGGAAUAUAAAUAAAACAAGUCUUUUACGUUUCGAGCCUACGCUCUUCAACAGAAAGAUACACAGAAAAGAAACACAGAAAGAAACCAGGAGAGAAAAAAAAUGCGUGCAGAGGCUAGCGAAUCAACAUAUAUAUGUAUAUAUAUGUAUGUGUG